UGGAGGACCGAACCGACUAAUGUUGAAAAAUUAGCGGAUGACCUGUGGCUGGGGGUGAAAGGCCAAUCAAACCGGGAGAUAGCUGGUUCUCCCCGAAAGCUAUUUAGGUAGCGCCUCGUGAAUUCAUCUCCGGGGGUAGAGCACUGUUUCGGCUAGGGGGCCAUCCCGGCUUACCAACCCGAUGCAAACUGCGAAUACCGGAGAAUGUUAUCACGGGAGACACACGGCGGGUGCUAACGUCCGUCGUGAAGAGGGAAACAACCCAGACCGCCAGCUAAGGUCCCAAAGUCAUGGUUAAGUGGGAAACGAUGUGGGAAGGCCCAGACAGCCAGGAUGUUGGCUUAGAAGCAGCCAUCAUUUAAAGAAAGCGUAAUAGCUCACUGGUCGAGUCGGCCUGCGCGGAAGAUGUAACGGGGCUAAACCAUGCACCGAAGCUGCGGCAGCGACACUGUGUGUUGUUGGGUAGGGGAGCGUUCUGUAAGCCUGCGAAGGUGUCCCGUGAGGGAUGCUGGAGGUAUCAGAAGUGCGAAUGCUGACAUAAGUAACGAUAAAGCGGGUGAAAAGCCCGCUCGCCGGAAGACCAAGGGUUCCUGUCCAACGUUAAUCGGGGCAGGGUGAGUCGACCCCUAAGGCGAGGCCGAAAGGCGUAGUCGAUGGGAAACGGGUUAAUAUUCCCGUACUUGGUGUUACUGCGAAGGGGGGACGGAGAAGGCUAUGUUGGCCGGGCGACGGUUGUCCCGGUUUAAGCGUGUAGGUGUGUGUUCCAGGUAAAUCCGGUUCACUUUAACACUGAGGCGUGACGACGAGGCACUACGGUGCUGAAGCAACAAAUGCCCUGCUUCCAGGAAAAGCCUCUAAGCAUCAGGUAACAUCAAAUCGUACCCCAAACCGACACAGGUGGUCAGGUAGAGAAUACCAAGGCGCUUGAGAGAACUCGGGUGAAGGAACUAGGCAAAAUGGUGCCGUAACUUCGGGAGAAGGCACGCUGACACGUAGGUGAAGUGAUUUACUCAUGGAGCUGAAGUCAGUCGAAGAUACCAGCUGGCUGCAACUGUUUAUUAAAAACACAGCACUGUGCAAACACGAAAGUGGACGUAUACGGUGUGACGCCUGCCCGGUGCCGGAAGGUUAAUUGAUGGGGUCAGCGCAAGCGAAGCUCCUGAUCGAAGCCCCGGUAAACGGCGGCCGUAACUAUAACGGUCCUAAGGUAGCGAAAUUCCUUGUCGGGUAAGUUCCGACCUGCACGAAUGGCGUAAUGAUGGCCAGGCUGUCUCCACCCGAGACUCAGUGAAAUUGAACUCGCUGUGAAGAUGCAGUGUACCCGCGGCAAGACGGAAAGACCCCGUGAACCUUUACUAUAGCUUGACACUGAACAUUGAGCCUUGAUGUGUAGGAUAGGUGGGAGGCUUUGAAGUGUGGACGCCAGUCUGCAUGGAGCCGACCUUGAAAUACCACCCUUUAAUGUUUGAUGUUCUAACGUGGACCCGUAAUCCGGGUUGCGGACAGUGUCUGGUGGGUAGUUUGACUGGGGCGGUCUCCUCCUAAAGAGUAACGGAGGAGCACGAAGGUUGGCUAAUCCUGGUCGGACAUCAGGAGGUUAGUGCAAUGGCAUAAGCCAGCUUGACUGCGAGCGUGACGGCGCGAGCAGGUGCGAAAGCAGGUCAUAGUGAUCCGGUGGUUCUGAAUGGAAGGGCCAUCGCUCAACGGAUAAAAGGUACUCCGGGGAUAACAGGCUGAUACCGCCCAAGAGUUCAUAUCGACGGCGGUGUUUGGCACCUCGAUGUCGGCUCAUCACAUCCUGGGGCUGAAGUAGGUCCCAAGGGUAUGGCUGUUCGCCAUUUAAAGUGGUACGCGAGCUGGGUUUAGAACGUCGUGAGACAGUUCGGUCCCUAUCUGCCGUGGGCGCUGGAGAACUGAGGGGGGCUGCUCCUAGUACGAGAGGACCGGAGUGGACGCAUCACUGGUGUUCGGGUUGUCAUGCCAAUGGCACUGCCCGGUAGCUAAAUGCGGAAGAGAUAAGUGCUGAAAGCAUCUAAGCACGAAACUUGCCCCGAGAUGAGUUCUCCCUGAGACUUAGAGUCUCCUGAAGGAACGUUGAAGACGACGACGUUGAUAGGCCGGGUGUGUAAGCGCAGCGAUGCGUUGAGCUAACCGGUACUAAUGAACCGUGAGG
RNAcentral lists this ribosomal RNA (2173 nucleotides) under Salmonella enterica subsp. enterica serovar Kentucky. RNAcentral describes it as "partial 23S ribosomal RNA". It matches the Rfam family "Bacterial large subunit ribosomal RNA", at positions 767 to 2915 of the family's 2925-position model. The record is from RNAcentral. Lineage: Bacteria; Pseudomonadati; Pseudomonadota; Gammaproteobacteria; Enterobacterales; Enterobacteriaceae.